CAGCAGCCGCGGGAAUACGAAGGGGGCUAGCGUUGCUCGGAAUUACUGGGCGUAAAGGGCGCGUAGGCGGACAGUUAAGUCGGGGGUGAAAGCCCGGGGCUCAACCUCGGAAUUGCCUUCGAUACUGGCUGUCUUGAGUAUGAGAGAGGUGUGUGGAACUCCGAGUGUAGAGGUGAAAUUCGUAGAUAUUCGGAAGAACACCAGUGGCGAAGGCGACACACUGGCUCAUUACUGACGCUGAGGCGCGAAAGCGUGGGGAGCAAACAGGAUUAGAUACCCCUGUAGUCCCUGUCUCUUAUAC
RNAcentral lists this ribosomal RNA (301 nucleotides) under uncultured bacterium. RNAcentral describes it as "partial 16S ribosomal RNA". It matches the Rfam family "Bacterial small subunit ribosomal RNA", at positions 509 to 807 of the family's 1533-position model. The record is from RNAcentral.